This 1439-nucleotide ribosomal RNA is filed under the name uncultured organism. RNAcentral describes it as "SSU rRNA". It matches the Rfam family "Bacterial small subunit ribosomal RNA". The record is from RNAcentral.
UACAGGCUUAACACAUGCAAGUCGAGGGGCAGCAUGGUCUUAGCUUGCUAAGGCCGAUGGCGACCGGCGCACGGGUGAGUAACACGUAUCCAACCUGCCGUCUACUCUUGGACAGCCUUCUGAAAGGAAGAUUAAUACAAGAUGGCAUCAUGAGUCCGCAUGUUCACAUGAUUAAAGGUAUUCCGGUAGACGAUGGGGAUGCGUUCCAUUAGAUAGUAGGCGGGGUAACGGCCCACCUAGUCUUCGAUGGAUAGGGGUUCUGAGAGGAAGGUCCCCCACAUUGGAACUGAGACACGGUCCAAACUCCUACGGGAGGCAGCAGUGAGGAAUAUUGGUCAAUGGGCGAGAGCCUGAACCAGCCAAGUAGCGUGAAGGAUGACUGCCCUAUGGGUUGUAAACUUCUUUUAUAAAGGAAUAAAGUCGGGUAUGGAUACCCGUUUGCAUGUACUUUAUGAAUAAGGAUCGGCUAACUCCGUGCCAGCAGCCGCGGUAAUACGGAGGAUCCGAGCGUUAUCCGGAUUUAUUGGGUUUAAAGGGAGCGUAGAUGGAUGUUUAAGUCAGUUGUGAAAGUUUGCGGCUCAACCGUAAAAUUGCAGUUGAUACUGGGUAUCUUGAGUGCAGUUGAGGCAGGCGGAAUUCGUGGUGUAGCGGUGAAAUGCUUAGAUAUCACGAAGAACUCCGAUUGCGAAGGCAGCCUGCUAAGCUGCAACUGACAUUGAGGCUCGAAAGUGUGGGUAUCAAACAGGAUUAGAUACCCUGGUAGUCCACACGGUAAACGAUGAAUACUCGCUGUUUGCGAUAUACUGCAAGCGGCCAAGCGAAAGCGUUAAGUAUUCCACCUGGGGAGUACGCCGGCAACGGUGAAACUCAAAGGAAUUGACGGGGGCCCGCACAAGCGGAGGAACAUGUGGUUUAAUUCGAUGAUACGCGAGGAACCUUACCCGGGCUUAAAUUGCAGAUGAAUUACGGUGAAAGCCGUAAGCCGCAAGGCAUCUGUGAAGGUGCUGCAUGGUUGUCGUCAGCUCGUGCCGUGAGGUGUCGGCUUAAGUGCCAUAACGAGCGCAACCCUUGUUGUCAGUUACUAACAGGUUCCGCUGAGGACUCUGACAAGACUGCCAUCGUAAGAUGUGAGGAAGGUGGGGAUGACGUCAAAUCAGCACGGCCCUUACGUCCGGGGCUACACACGUGUUACAAUGGGGGGUACAGAGGGCCGCUACCACGCGAGUGGAUGCCAAUCCCCAAAACCUCUCUCAGUUCGGACUGGAGUCUGCAACCCGACUCCACGAAGCUGGAUUCGCUAGUAUCGCGCAUCAGCCACGGCGCGGUGAAUACGUUCCCGGGCCUUGUACACACCGCCCGUCAAGCCAUGGGAGCCGGGGGUACCUGAAGUGCGUAACCGCGAGGAGCGCCCUAGGGUAAAACUGGUGACUGGGGCUAAA